AUCAAUUUCCUCGGAUUUCACGACCAAUCCACGGAGUGAGUUAGUCUCUUCGACAUCGUCUAUUGCAGACAUUGAAGGUAUUCCCGCAGUUAGCGACGCAGUCCCGUCUCCUCCUGGAAUUCAGUUUCUUACAACUUUCCUCACAGUCUCGGCGAGUGGUACUGCAGCGAACAGUGCAAAUAUCAGCCACCGCUGUUGACACGAUUAUUCCAAUGACCAGCAGGGAAACUAAUAGUUUGAUCUUACAAUUUCUUACAACUGUCCUCACAGCCUCGGCGAACGGUGCUGCAGCGAACAGUGCAAACAUCAGCCACCGCUGUUGACACCAUCAUUCCAACGACCAGCAGGAAAACCAAUAGUUUGAUCUGAAAAUUGAUAUUGAAGGUAUUCCCGCAGUUAGCGACGCAGUCCCGUCUCCUCCUGGCCUUCAGUUUCUUACAACUUUCCUCACAGCCUCGGCGAGCGGUGCUGCAGCGAACAGUGCAAAUAUCAGCCACCGCUGUUGACACGAUCAUUCCAACGACCAGCAGAGAAACCAAUAAUUUGAUCUGAAAAUUGAUAUUGUCUGAAUCGUUUACCAAGUGCAUAAUGAACAUCAAACUAUUGGUUUGUCUGCUGGUCAUUGGAAUGAUCGUAUCAACAGCGGUUUCUGAUAAUUGUACAAAUCGCUGCAAUAUCGCUCGCCGAAACUGUCAGAAAAAAUGUGAAAAAUUGAGUUCUAGUAAGAGGAGACGGGAAUGCACCGCUACCUGCGAGAAUACCGUCACAACCUGCAAUAGACGAUGUCGAAGAAACUGAUUUAAGUCAUUUCCAGCAUAGAUUGUUUGAUUCUAAGAAAGAAUGAUUUGUGUUUGUUUGGGAAUCAAAUAAAA
Molecule: long non-coding RNA, 872 nt
Organism: Saccostrea cuccullata (small rock oyster)
Lineage: Eukaryota; Metazoa; Mollusca; Bivalvia; Ostreida; Ostreidae
Exons: 5
Source: RefSeq, a predicted model, not a curated record